This is an RNA transcript of Melospiza melodia melodia, 11547 nucleotides long. It is a transcript of the gene named kinesin family member 21B, with no coding region annotated. The transcript has 36 exons. NCBI's taxonomy places the organism in Eukaryota, Metazoa, Chordata, Aves, Passeriformes, Passerellidae. The record is from RefSeq and is a predicted model, not a curated record.
UGCUCCGGGGCAGCGGCGGCCGCGGUGCCGUGCGGGGCCAUGGCGGCCCCGGACAGCUGCGUGAAGGUGGCCGUGAGGAUCCGCCCUCAGCUGCCCAAAGAGAAGAUAGAGGGAUGUCACAUCUGUACCUCAGUGACACCUGGCGAGCCCCAGGUGCUGCUGGGCAAGGACAAGGCCUUCACCUAUGACUUUGUCUUUGACCUGGACACGUGGCAGGAGAGGAUCUACACCACGUGCAUGGGGAAGCUCAUCGAGGGCUGCUUCGAGGGCUACAAUGCCACUGUGCUGGCCUACGGGCAGACUGGAGCAGGGAAGACCUACACCAUGGGCACUGGCUUUGACAUGAACAUCUCCGAGGAGGAGCAGGGCAUCAUCCCGCGGGCCAUCAGCCACCUCUUCAGCGGCAUCGAGGAGCGGCGGCGCGCGGCGCAGAGCCAGGGCCUGGCAGCGCCCGAGUUCAAAGUCAGCGCCCAGUUCCUGGAGCUGUACAACGAGGAGAUCCUGGACCUGUUUGACAGCACCCGCGACCCCGACUCGCGCCACCGCAAAUCCAACAUCAAAAUCCACGAGGAUGCCAGCGGGAGCAUCUACACCACGGGGGUCACCUCACGCCUCAUCAGCUCCCAGGAUGAGCUGAUCCAGUGCCUAAAGCAAGGAGCUUUGUCCCGCACCACGGCCAGCACCCAGAUGAACGUGCAGAGCUCCAGAUCCCAUGCCAUCUUCACUAUUUACCUGUGCCAGACGAGAGUGUGUGCCCGCCCAGAGCUGGUGAAUGAGGAGGUGAGCAGCCUUCUGGAUGGAUCCCAACCUGCUGCUGAAUAUGAGACCUUGACAGCCAAGUUUCACUUUGUGGACCUGGCUGGCUCGGAGAGGCUGAAGCGGACGGGUGCCACGGGCGAGAGAGCCAAGGAGGGCAUCUCCAUCAACUGUGGGCUGCUGGCCUUGGGGAAUGUCAUCAGUGCCCUUGGAGACCAGAGCAAGAAGGUUGUGCACGUGCCCUACCGCGACUCCAAGCUCACCCGCCUGCUGCAGGAUUCCCUCGGGGGCAACAGCCAAACCAUCAUGAUUGCCUGCGUGAGCCCCUCCGACCGGGAUUUCAUGGAGACCCUGAACACGCUCAAGUACGCCAACCGUGCUCGCAACAUCAAGAACAAGGUGGUGGUGAACCAGGACAAGACGAGCCAGCAGAUCAGCGCCCUGCGUGCCGAGAUCGCCCGGCUGCAGAUGGAGCUCAUGGAGUACAAGGCAGGCAAGCGUGUGAUCGGGGAGGAUGGCACGGAGGGCUACAGCGACCUGUUCCGGGAGAACGCCAUGCUGCAGAAGGAGAACAGCGCGCUGCGCAUGCGCGUCAAGGCCAUGCAGGAGGCCAUCGACGCCAUCAACAGCAGGGUCACCUACCUCAUGAGCCAGGAGGCCAACAUGAUGCUGGCCAAAGCAGGUGACGGCAACGAAGCCAUCGGCACCCUGAUCCAGAACUACAUCCGGGAGAUUGAGGAGCUGAGGACGAAGCUGCUGGAGAGCGAGUCCAUGAACGAGUCCCUGCGGCGCAGCCUCUCGCGGGUCUCUGCACGGGGCCCGUUCCCUGUGGGCUCCUCACCGGGCCCGGGCCUGGCUGGGAUCUGCAGCCCCGCAGCCACCCUGGACACCGAGGCCUCCGACGUGCUCCGACGGGCCAAGCAGGACCUGGAGCGCCUCAAGAAGAAGGAGCGGCGGCAGCAGAGGAAGAGCCCAGAGAAGGAGGCGUUUAAGAAGAGGCAGAAACUGCAGCAGGACAAUGGGGAGGAGACGGAUGAGAACGAGGUGGAAGAGGAGGAGGAAGAACAGGAUGAGAGUGGCUGUGAGGAAGAGGAUGGGCGCGAGGAUGAAGAUGAGGACUCAGCCAGUGAAGAGAGCCUGGUGGACUCGGACUCGGAUGCAGAGGAGAAGGCUGUGAAUUUCCAGGCCGACCUGGCAGAUCUGACCUGUGAGAUUGAGAUCAAGCAGAAGCUGAUUGAUGAGCUGGAGAACAGCCAGCGGCGGCUGCAGACCCUCAAGCACCAGUAUGAGGAGAAGCUGAUCUUGCUGCAGAACAAGAUUCGGGACACGCAGCUGGAGCGGGACCGGGUCCUGCAGAACCUCAGCACCAUGGAGUGCUACACCGAGGAGAAAGCCAACAAGAUCAAGGCAGACUACGAGAAGCGACUGAAGGAGAUGAACAGGGACCUACAGAAGCUGCAGGCAGCCCAGAAGGAGCACGCUCGCCUGCUCAAGAACCAGAGCCGCUACGAGCGGGAGCUGCGCAAGCUGCAGGCGGAGGUGGCCGAGAUGAAGAAGGCAAAGGUGGCGCUGAUGAAGCAGAUGCGGGAGGAGCAGCAGCGGCGCCGCCUGGCCGAGACCAAGAGGAACCGGGAGAUCGCGCAGCUCAAGAAGGAGCAGCGCCGGCAGGAGUUCCAGAUCAGGGCUCUGGAAUCUCAGAAGCGACAGCAGGAAAUUGUGCUGCGGAGGAAAACGCAGGAGGUGUCAGCGCUGCGCCGUCUGGCCAAGCCCAUGUCCGACAGGGUGGCGGGCAGGACGGGCCCCAAGCCCCCCAUGCUGGACUCGGGGGCCGAGGUCUCGGCCAGCACCACCUCCUCCGAGCCCGAGAGCGGCGCUCGCUCCGUCUCCAGCAUCGUGCGCCAGUGGAACAGGAAAAUCAACAACUUCCUGGGAGACUCCUCGGCCUCCAUCAACGGGGCUCGGCCUGCCAGGAAGAAGUUCCCCAAGAAGGGGUCGAGCCAGACCUUCAGCAAAGCUGCCCGCCUCAAGUGGCAGUCGCUGGAGCGGCGCAUCUUCGACAUUGUCAUGCAGAGAAUGACCAUUGUCAACCUCGAGGCAGACAUGGAGAGGCUCAUCAAGAAACGUGAGGAGCUGUCGCUGCUGCAGGAGGCAUUGCUGGGCAAGCGGGCAAAGCUGCAGGCAGAGAGCCCCAAGGAGCAGAAGGGUCUACAAGAGCUGAACGAGGAGAUUGAGGUGCUGGGGGCCAACAUUGACUACAUCAACGACAGCAUUUCAGACUGCCAGGCCACCAUCAUGCAGAUUGAGGAGACUAAGGAGGAGCUGGACUCCACGGACACCUCGGUGGUGAUCAGCUCCUGCUCCCUGGCCGAAGCCCGGCUGCUGCUGGACAACUUCCUGAAAGCCUCCAUUGACAAGGGGCUGCAGGUGGCCCAGAAGGAGGCGCAGAUCCGGCUGCUGGAGGGGCGCCUGCGGCAGACAGACGUGGCCAACUCCUCGCAGAACCACGCCCUGCUGGAUGCCCUGAGGGAGAAGGCUGAGUCCCACCCCGAGCUGCAGGCGCUGAUCCACAACGUCCAGCAAGAGAAUGGGUACACCAGCACAGAUGAGGAAGUUUCAGAGUUCAGCCUGGCCUCAGAUGGGAGCAUCUCCCAGUCUUUCACCAUGAAGGGCUCAGCAAGCCAGGAUGACUUCAAGUUCAAGGGGGAGCCCAAGCUUUCGGGGCAGAUGAAGGCAGUGUCAGCUGAGUGUCUGGGACCCACGCUGGACGUGUCCACCAAGAACAUCACCAAGUCCUUGGCGUCCCUCAUGGAGAUCAAGGAGGACGGGAUCGGCUUCUCCAUCCGGGACCCCUAUUACAAGGAGAAGGUGUCACGGACCAUCAGCCUGCCCACCCGGGGCAGCACCUUUCCCAGGCAGUCCCGGGGCUCGGACACCUCGCCCCUGACCCGGCGGAAAUCCUACGACCGUGGGCAGCCUGCCAGGCCUGCAGACAUCGGCUUCACACCGCCCUCCUCCCCACCCACCCGUCCGCGCAACGACCGCAACGUCUUCUCCCGUCUCACGAGCACCCAGAGCCAGGGAUCUGCCUUGGACAAGUCUGAUGACAGCGAUUCCUCUGUCUCGGAGGUGCUGAGGGGCAUCAUCAACCCGGUGGGUGGCACCAAGAAUGCCCGGACAGCCCCUCUGCAGUGUGUCUCAGUGGCAGAGGGACACACCAAGCCUGUGCUCUGCCUGGAUGCCACCGAUGAGCUGCUCUUCACGGGCUCCAAAGACCGCAGCUGCAAGAUGUGGAACCUGGUGACAGGCCAGGAAAUCGCCUCUCUCAAGGGCCACCCCAACAAUGUGGUGUCCAUCAAGUACUGCAGCCACACGGGGCUGGUGUUCACCGUGUCCACGUCCUACAUCAAGGUGUGGGACAUCCGCGACUCCGCGCGCUGCGUCCGCACCCUCACGUCGUCGGGCCAGGUGAUCUCUGGGGACGCGUGUGCCGGGACCAGCAGCCGCACGGUCACCAGCGUGCAGGGCGAGCACCAGAUCAACCAGAUCGCGCUCAACCCCGCGGGCACCGCGCUCUACGCGGCCGCCGGCAACGCCGUGCGCGUCUGGGAGCUCAGCAGGCUGCAGCCCGUGGGGAAGCUGAGCGGCCACAUCGGGCCCGUGAUGUGCCUGACAGUGAGCCAGACCCCGAGCAACCACGACCUGGUGGUCACAGGCUCCAAGGAUCACUAUGUCAAGGUGUUUGAGAUCACGGAGGGCAUGGUGGGCAAUAUCAGCCCCACGCACAACUUCGAGCCCCCUCACUAUGAUGGCAUCGAGUGCCUGGCCAUCCAGGGAGAUGUCCUCUUCAGUGGCUCCAGGGACAAUGGCAUAAAGAAGUGGGAUCUGGAGCAGCAGGAACUUAUCCAGCAAAUCCCCAAUGCCCACAAGGACUGGGUGUGUGCCCUGGCCUUCAUCCCCGGGCGCCCCAUGGUGCUGAGCGCCUGCCGAGGAGGCGUCAUCAAGGUGUGGAACGUGGACAACUUCACCCCAGUGGGGGAGAUCAAGGGCCAUGACAGCCCCAUCAAUGCCAUCUGCACCAACUCCAAGCACAUCUUCACUGCCUCCAGUGACUGCCGGGUAAAGUUAUGGAAUUACGUGCCUGGGCUCACCCCUUGCCUUCCUCGACGCGUCCUUGCCAUAAAGGGCCGUGCUACUAGUCUGCCUUGACCCUCCUGCUCUUGACUCUCUUGCUCAUAUGCUCCUCUUCUGUCUCUCCUUCCCUUUUCUCUCCAUCUCUCCCCUCUCUCUGUCCCUCUCACUGUUGCUUUUGCUCCUCUCUCUCUUUCCCUCCCCCCCCGUUUUUUCUCUGGUCUGAGCUGCUUCUUCACGCGACUUGACAGUGAAGCUCUGGAGUGGGAGGAGGUUGCCUGCGGGGUCAAACUAGGAACUACACAAAGACUGCAAGGCGUGGGCAGGGUGAGGGGCAGGGCACCUCCCCUGCUCUCAGUGAGGACUCAGCCACCCACAGGAGCUCAGCCCAGCACAGGGGUUUCUUUGUGCCUGACCCAACGGGGUGGACAAUGCUGCAUCUGGUACUGUGGUCAGCUCCUGUGAGGAAGCAGCUCUGUGGGGCAGCAGCAGCUCCACCUGCCCUCCUGCUGAGGUUUCUGAUGGUUCUCCAGUGAACAGGAAAUGUUUCAUCUCUCACCCAUCCUGCUGUAAGGACUUUGGGGGUCAGAGGUCCCUGACUCCUCAGAGACACCCAGCUCCCUCCUGCCGUGGCUCUGCCGGGCUGUGCUGCUCCUGGGCUGGUUCCUGCAGGAGUCUUCUCCACUCCACGAGGACAUUUGGUGUCUGCUGGCCAGGACCACCACACAGAGGAUGCUUCUCUGGAGCCAUUACUUGUGAGACACCUCUGCUGUGGGGACUGCAGAAGGAUUUCCUGGUACUCCCAGCCUUCCCUUUCCUGUGUGGACGUGUCCCCAGUGGUUGGAGGGUGCUCUGAGCUCCUUUGCCAUGUCCCAUCUCAUGAGGCACAGCAAGCCUGGGAUGUUCUCCAUUGGGCAGCUUCCAGACUGACCUGCUGCAGUUCCUUUGACAUUCUCCAAACCCCACUUGUAAACUCAACUGCCCCAUGGCUCUGGGCUCUCCCCCACAUGCCCAGCCUGCUCAGCCCUGCUCUGGACAUUGUGGUCCCAUCAGGGCUUUGUGCUGGGUUCCUGCAGCCAGUUAACCCCCUUGGGACAGAGAAAUGAAGCAAGAAUGGAGGUUACAGGGCAAAAAGGCCGAGGCUGGAUUUGGCACCCCACUGCUGUGGCUCUGCCUGUCCUUCCCUUGGGCUCUGCCCUCACCUCUGCCUGGACUGGAGCUUGCUCAGGCUGGGCCUGCAUGGAUGCAAGGCUGGAGAGGAGCCAGCAAGGCAGGGAGCAACCAGAGUCACUGUGGCAGGGGCAGAGGGGGACAGGGUUGCACACUGACCUUGCACAAGUCCCUGACUCCCCCUGUGCUGGAAGGACAAUCCUGCAGUGGAUGAUCUUGCACAAUCUCAUCUCCUGGAGGGUCUGGGGGCUCCACCCUGGAGUGUUUCCCCAAGGACAUUCUGCAGGCUCUUUCCUCUGUCUCUCCUGUUCAAGAGGGGCUGGUAAGGCCCUGGUCUCACACUGGAGCUCCCCUCCAUCUCUCCUAUGGCCCACUGGACCAUCCCCUGCUCUGUCCUGCCCUGUGGAAUGGCCAAGGAGACCCCAGGAUGGGUGUUCCUGCCUCACACACUCUCCUUUCCCCUUUGUCACAGAAGAAGCAGCACUUGAACUCAAAUUUAAGGAUUUCUCCAUGUGAUCCCACAGCACUGAACUGGGAUCUUGGAGGCCAGGGGCUCCAGGACCUGCCCCAUCAAGCACAGACCAUUUCCCCUCUGCUCUCUCCAACCAUGGUGAUACCUUGAACUGCCCCAGCUCAUCUGCCACCAACCCUUGCUCCAGGCACUCUGGCUGGAGUGAGGGGAUCCCUCUGCAUCUCUGCAUCAUGAAAGACAGGAAUUUCUGUAUUGAUUUGGUGGGGGAAGGGGAGGGUUGCCUUUUUUUUUGGGAAAAUUCCAUCCUGCUGGCUUGCCUUGUUGGAGGGUAAAUGGUACAUGUGUGUGAGUGUGUGUGUCUGUGUGUCUGUCUGUGUGUGUGAGAGUGACCCUGCCAGGACAGUCCCUGCUCCCUGGGAGUGUGGCUGAGCCCUGCACAGCCAGAACUGGUGGCUGUGCUGAGGAGAGGCUCCCAUCCAUCCUGUGUGACCUGUGCAGGCCAAAAGUGCACAGAGAGCUCAGCACCCAGUGGCAUACAGCCACGGGGGUCUGCAGGAGGUGUCUCCCACCCCCCAGGCCUGUCUUGGAGGGGUUUUUACACUCAUUCCUCAGCUGGUUUGGCUGGAGGGGCUCUGUGUGUGUGGCUGUCUCUGGGAAGUGUUUGGCUGUAGCCUGGUGUUGCACCUGUGUGCUCUGAGAUCUCCAGUGCCUGCCCUGCUGCCAUGGCUGGAGGGGGCACCCAGGGUCAGACCUGCCUUGCCUUUGCCCCCAACACCUCCCUGUGUGCAGGCUGAAAGGGCCUGUUCAGUAUUCCAGGGCUGAGUGACCCGUCCUGAGCCUCUCCUGCUGCUGUGUCCAGGCUCUCACAGCCCAUGGAGGGAGGGAGCUGCUGCUGGGGCAUUGCUGUCCUGAGGCAGGGGGUUUGAAGGGAGGAGAGCCCUGAUUUAGGAAUAGCAUUCUCCCAUUUCGUGCUCCUACCAAAACCCCCAUCCCCAGCAGGGUGGAGAGAGGAAUUGGAGGCACAAAAGAUGAAGAUCACAGGUUGAGAUAAGAGCAAUUUACUGGAAACAGCAGUGAGAUAAAAAAACAAACAGGAAGACAGCAGCAAUGUUAAUAAUAGAAGUAUAGAAAAGAGAGAACGAUUCACAUGCAGAGUGCUCACCCUGACCUGACCACAGCCAUAUUCUACUGACCAGAGUAGACCUCUCCUCUGAGGAGAAGGAAUGGAUGCUCCCCUGUGUGUCUCCAUGGCAUCAGUACAUUGUGACCAAGCCUUACACUGCUGUGGAUCUGCUGGGCCAGCCUUGGAUGCACAGCCCAGUGCUGCUGUCCCCCCCUGGCUGCAGGCAGGGCCCUCUGGGUGCUCACUGCUCACUGCUGCAGCUGUGGAGGUGCCUUCAGGGGGAUCAGAAGUGACAUUAGCCCUGUUGUUCUGUCUGAGCACAUGCCCACUGGAAGCUGGGCUGGCAUUUAUCCCUGAAGAAUCCCUGCAGUUGUUGUUUUUCCUCUUAGCUCACGCAGCCAUGCUUCUGGGGCACAAGUGGGUUUUCCUUCCCAAUUCCUUCUGUCCUCUCUCUGUGCUCAUGCAGGUAAAACCAUAGGAUGCCUUGUGGUGUGCCAGUUGCUCCCAGCAGCAGAGGCUCUGGUCUGUACUGGUGUGACAGGGCACAUUUCCUCAGUCCACAGCCCUAGACUGGAGAAUAAGUCCAGUCCUAAACUGGAACUGAGCUGCUGCAGUUUGGACAGUCUUUUAACACAGCUGAGACACAGGUUGAAGAAAAAACAAUGAUCUUCAUCAUCAGAGCUGGGGAGUCACCUUUAACACUGUUUGUUCUGUUCAGAUCUCUGAAGAACCUCCCCAGAAAUCUCUUUCUUGACUCCAAAGAUUAUGUGCACUGCACUAAGGACACCUGGCAAAAUUAUUUCCUUAACAUCCCAAGGGAAUUCAGAGCUUCAGAAGCUGUUUUAACAGAACUCAAGGGAGAAAAGUGGGUGAAAGUCUGGGGAAAAUCAUCCUCCCAUGUUCCCCCAUGGGGUGGUCAUGGCUGUUAUUAAUGGAGUCCCAAAGGAAGUGCCCCAGGUAGGGGUAGAAGAGCAACACUCAAAACAGCCCUAAUGACCCUUGAUGUUAUCAUGUCAUAAACAGAGCAAUCCUGAUCCCCCUCCCUGCUCUGAGCCAGAGGCUGUGAUGGGAGCAGACAGAAAUACAUGCAGGGUUGGGUACCCACAUGGGCAGAGCAGGCAAUGCUGUCACCAGUGGCUCAGUACCCAAUACAGAAAAUGUUGAGAUCUAAUUUGCUUCCAAGCCACUCUGGGCAGAUCUGUUGUUAUCUCAACUGUUCAAGCCCUACCUUGGAUGCCAAAAAAACACAACAAAAAACUGUUGUGGUUUAGGACUCCUAUCCCCCAAUUUGGUGUUCCCACUACAACUGUGUGCUGCCACAGCCCUCACCUCAUUCCCUCCCUGUGGUGGGAUGGAGAGGAGAGCUGGAGGCACAAAAGGCAAAAAAAUCACAGGCAGAGAUAGGAACAAUUGACUGGAAACAGCAAUGAGAUAAGAAAAAUGAACAGCAACAAUAUUAAUAACAAAAGUGCAACAAUAUUGAUAACAAAAGUGUACAAAAGGGAGCAAAUCACGUGCAAAUGCUCUCUGCAGUGUUACCCUGAUUGGAAGAGAUCCCUUCCCCCUGCCCAGCAAUGAUGUGAGGUGGCCUAAAAGAACCUCGGGGCUCUGGCCAUGUCCCCUCCUGGCUACUGCAAAAUUAACUCUGUCCUGGCUGGAACCAGGCCAGGGCUGACUGUGAUCCCAUAGCUCUGUGUGUGUGUGUAUGUGUGUGUGUGUGUGUAGCUCUUAGUUCCUGUGUGGGUUGAUGUUUUUCAUGCAGAAGAGCAUUUCAUUUCUUGCUGUUUAUCUGGUUUAGCUACCUCACGGUGCAAGCUGGGUGCUGUUCUCAUUGGGUUUCCUAUUGGGGAUGGGGUGGGGAGUUCGUGGUGUAAGAAUUUUUAUUAUUUUUUUUUCUCUUAAUUAUUGUUAUUGUUAUGGUUUUGACACUUGAAUUCAUCCCGGGGACACGUGGCCUCGCUCCCACCUUGCUGCAUGUCUGAGCCACCCCCUGUGUUCCCUCCCUGCUCCUCCUGGGCAGGGAGCAGGGCUGGGGUCCCUGCCCCAGAGGGAUCCCCCAGAGCAGCUGCAACACUGAGAUUUUGCUCCCAUUCCUUGUGGGAUUCUGAGGAUCUGUGGUGUUCCAUUGGUGAUUGGCUUGGUUGGCAGCCUGGGGGUGGCUCCAUCUGGUCCCUUGGAAAGGGGGCUCAGAAAGGCUCAGCCCAGCCCAAAUGUCUCCCUCUGCUCUCACAGACACUCUGUGGAUGUGACGGAGCUCUGGGCUGGGGGAUGUCUGUGCAAAGCACAAUGCUGGGGUGAGCUGCUUCCAGCCACCUCUGCCCAGAGCCUGCUGCUCAGCAAGGCUCAGCUCAGCCCAAAUUUCUCCCCCUGCUCUCCCAGAUACUCUGAGAUGUGAUGGAGCUCUGGGCUGGGGGAUGUCUGUGCAGAGCACAUGGCUGGGGUGGGCUGGUUCCAGCCACCAGUGCCCAGAGCCUGCUGCAUGUGCUGUGAAAGCCUCUGCCCAAGCUGGGCAUGGUCUGUGAGAACCCGAUUCUGCUGUGUGAUGGAUUUUUCACUCCCAAAAACUCUAGUUGUGUCUAGAUUGAGUGCCAGGCACUGACCAUAAGCCAGGGGAGCCCUGGAGCCCCAGCUCAGGCUGGCAGCUGCCCUGGCACAGGGGUCAGGGGGCUCUGAGCCAGUUUGGGGUGCAGGUCCUCCCAAACACUAAAGCACAAGGUCCCACAUGCAGUGGGUCUAGCAGGGGUGGCCCUUUGGUCCCUGGCCCUCCAGAGCUCCAAUGGGACCAUGGGCUGAGGCUGGAGGAGGAGGAGGACUGGGCUGAAGGCUCUUUGCCUGUGGGUGAGCUGUUCCAUCCCUGUGCCCUGUGCUGGCUGCACACCUGAAGUCCCCUCUGGUGGUCUCAGAGCCCCUCCAGGGCAGGGACACUUUGGAGCUGCCUUUGUACCACACACCUCAUUUUCCUCUGCCCUUGGGCACCUCGAUUUGUGACAAGGGUGUGCUCAUACCUGCACUCCUGCCUCAGGCUGCUGGGUUAUGCUUCUUUCCCCAGGGCCCAACUCUGGCUCUGGGGGUCUCCUCAUCCCCAGCACACAGCUCCAGCCUCUGUGUAGGGAGCAGGGCUGGACCAGAGUCAGGAGCCUGAAAGCACUGGAUCCCCAAACGACUGUGAGUCCUCCUGAGCAGUGUCCCCUCCCUGUCACCUGCAGCUCUGCUGACACAGGCUGGGCUGGGAGCUCUGGGGUCCCCUCCUCACCACCUCUGAGCAGCUGCUUUGGGGUCUGAAUUGCUGCCUCCUGCCUUGGUGCUGCAAACCCAGUGCCUGCUUCCCCUGGUGCUCUCCUGGUGCUCCUCACCCUCACCAGUCCUCCCAGUGCCCCUCACUGGAGAGUCCAGGUACCAUCCCUGCCAAGCACAGGGCUCCAGUUUGCUUUCCACAUUCUCCCUGGAGCUUCACUGUCUCCUGCAGGCUGCUCAUCCUCCUGAGCCCCCCUCACCCUUCUGGGAAGGGACGAGGACCCCCCAGCCCCUCCAGGUGCUGCACGGUGCUCCAGCUGUAACUGGGACAGAGCCAGCUCCCAGAAAAGCACAGCCCUGCACCUUCCUCCUCCUCCUCCUCCUCCCCGGGGCUCAUCCCCUCCUCACCACAGCCCUGCACCUUCCUCCUCCUCCUCCUCCUCCCCGGGGCUCAUCCUGUCACCCACCACAGCCCUGCACCUUCCUCCUCCUCCCCAGGGCUCAUCCCCCCCUCACCACAGCCCUGCACCUUCCUCCUCCUCCUCUUCACCAGGGCUCAUCCCCUCACCCUCCACAGCCCUGCACCUUCCUCCUCCUCCUCCUCCUCCUCCCCAGGCUCAUCCUGUCACCCACCACAGCCCUGCACCUUCCUCCUCCUCCUCCU